CUUCCGAUCCAUUUAUUUCCUUACAGGGAUCAAGUUAUACACAAACAAACAAAUUAAAUUAACAGAAACCUCCGGACGAUAUUAUCGUAGUGAAAAUAUCAAUGGAUAGUUAUUACGUGCGCGUUAUGCACUAGUAUUAAUCCAAACGACGGCGUAGAUAAACGAUGGAAUAAUUCCCGAAGUAUUCGUUAUUUUCCGGAAGUAUUGGGAAAUGUUUGCGGACGGCUACAAUACAGAAAUAAAAACG
Cinara cedri is the source of this 247-nucleotide non-coding RNA. The record is from the annotation of a GenBank genome assembly. Lineage: Eukaryota; Metazoa; Arthropoda; Insecta; Hemiptera; Aphididae.